Molecule: long non-coding RNA, 3699 nt
Organism: Daktulosphaira vitifoliae (grape phylloxera)
Lineage: Eukaryota; Metazoa; Arthropoda; Insecta; Hemiptera; Phylloxeridae
Exons: 2
Source: RefSeq, a predicted model, not a curated record
UAUUUUUUAAUCAACUUUAUUACAUUUCACUAGAAGCUUUUUUUUAUAGUUUUAUUUUAUUUUAUUUUUUGACAUUACAACAAUUUAUAAUUAAUGUAACAAUAUAUUUAAUUUAUAUAGUAGUUCAUUAAUGUGUGUGAAAUAGUUUGUUUCAGAUUCAAAUUUUUUUUUUUUAUAACCCUACGGUACUUUUUAUUGAGACAAUCAUAAAUCUUAAUCAAUGCAAUUAAAUCAUUAUCAAAAUUAUUAAUAUACGAUUUUACUAAUGGGAUUUACACUUCCAUUGAAGUGGUCCCUAACUUAGUCUAAUAAUAAUAAAUAAUAAUAUUUAAACUGUAAAGUAAAUAUUUAUAAAUUUAAACUAAGUCAUAUGGCUUGACGCGUUUUAAACGUCUUAGGUCAUUGGAAUUGUCGAAUAGUUGAAUGAAUUGCCGCUAUAUUUUCAUGGUUUUCCAACCUUAUUAUAUGCUUACGUGCAGACCUAGUGACUUCAUCUGCUACGGUUGGUUACAUCAUAUCUCGAUGAAUUACUUCAUUUCUAUCGAAUCUGUAGCCGCGACGAUUGUACGACUUGCGUUAUUUCGACAACGUUGUAUAACAUCUAUGUUGGACUUACUGGCACCACCCACAAUUGUUGAAUUCUAUAAGGUUUUACGAUCGCUACGUAUAACAGACGUUCUCUAGUGAUAGCUCAGAAUUUUUUCCAACUAACCAAUAGAGUCCGCGCAUUUUAUUCUUUAUCUGCAGUCUUUUCUGGCGUACAUGAUGUUUCCAGAUGAGGCGGCAGUCAAGGUGCAUUCACAGAUAUUUAGCCGAAUCUCUUUGUGGGAUUAUAUGUCGUUCGGUUGAAUAACAUGUUCUAAAUGAAGUGCAUAUGCUUCUGCUUUGUCCAAAUCAGUACGCGCCCACGUACCAUCUUCCUUACGAAUAGGAGGUACAUAAGCUCGAGGUCUUUUAAUUUUUCUUGUAGUUUUUCAUAAAGAAUAAUUGCUAAAAACUGUAGUAGAUAGUCCGCUUAAAUAUGACUUAAAUAUGUUUCGUUUUUAACUUCUUUGAUUUUCUCACAUAGUGCUCAGGCACGUAGCCAGAAAAUGUUUAUUGGAGGUGCCAACAAUUUUGGGCCCUUGUAUCAUUUUCUAUAAUUUGUUCCCUAUGAAAAGAUUGUGGGGGGGCUCCGUCCACUCCUUAGACAGUAUCCCUACUAUGAAUCUUACAAGUUCAAAAUUUUACCAUUGGUUGGUUAAAAACAAAUUGUUUUCGUAUAAAGUAUACUAAUUAAUACAGUAUUAUAAAAAAUGGAUAGUACCUGUAAUAAAAAAAAAAAAAUACUUUCAUCUUCACUAUCGGGAUGAAUUUUUCAUAUUGUGAAAAAUUAAUAAAAUAAUGAUGUGAACAUAAGCUGAUUUAAUUUUUCAACUUUUAAGCUAUUAAGAAAAAAUAAUUUACACCUAAAUACUAAUAACAAAUAAGUUAUAAAUAAUUUUUAAAAUAAAUAUAAAUUAUAAACAAUGUAAAAUUUAUUUUAUUUAAAAUUAAAAACAAUUCCUGCUUUUUUUUAGUCAUAUUUUUAUUACUAUUAUUUAAACCAUGCAAAUAACAAAUUAACAAAAACAAAUAAAUUACCUAUUGUAACAACUAAAUUAUAAAAAAAGAAACAGAUUAAAGAUAAGAUUUAUCAAAAAAAUUUUCAUAGAGUAUUACUCUAUCGAAUUUUGAACUAGAUUCUAAUCAAUGCAGAUACAUGGUAGUUUGUUAUCAUUUGUUGGACCAGAGUUAAAAAAAAUUUACCUACAUCUCGUUUGGAGUAACUGCUAUUCCAUUUAUUAUUACGUCUAGAACGUUAUCUUUUUCAAAUAACGUUUUCUAUGAAUAUAAAAAUGAAAAUACAGCUAUAAUAAUAACUGUAUUACCCAAUAAUAAUCACAAAUCAAUAAUAAUUUCAAUGUAAAUAAGGCCUAGCACGUUUUUGAUAAUUCGUAAAAAUAAUUGAAUUUUAAAUUGUGGGGGGGGGGCCGACCCUAAGUCAUAUUAAAUCUAAGGGGAGCCAAGCCCACCCAUGUCUACGUGCCUGAUAGUGCUUUGCAUAAACGAUUCCAUUCAGUUUUAUCUGCUAAAUGAUGGGUAGUGUACCGUUUUCUUCUAGCUCUGCGUUUUUACUUAAUAAGUUCUUUUAUUUCCACUGGAUAAGUUGUCUCGUGAUAUCUGUCUUUACAGGUUUCUAAAGUAGCUUUUUUUGCCGCUUUGACAAUAUCAUUAGUUAGUUUAUGUACUACUGUUUCUAUGUCACUUGCUGUUUUCAACUGUACGGAAAGUGUGAUAGUUUUUUCUAGGGCAUUCUGAAAAUAUCCCAGUCUGUCUGUUUAUUUGUGAUGAAAAUUUUCCGCUUUUUUAAUAUGACAUUCGAACUUAUUGUCAAUAACACAGGAAUGUGAUCAUACGACAAGUCUACCAGCUCUUCUGCUUGAACAUAAUUAGAAGAGAUACCUUUAAUUACGAAGAAGUGUAAAAGAUCAGGAUUUUUAUUUGAGUCACUUGGGCAGGGUAAUAAAUCUUGAUCCGUAAUGGGUAUGUUUGGCGUUAUAAUCACCACCUACAAUAUAUAUAAUAAAACAAUAAAACAGUUGCCAAGAGUUUGGAAAAACUCAUUGAAUUUAUUGAAGUCGGCGCCACCUUGAAGUGGAAAAUAAAUUGCCAAAACUAAGAAAUCAUUACUCUCAUUAAUGACUCUGACAUUUGUUACUUGUAUGUGCAUUGUUGAAUACUUUUCAAGCUCAAAAUGCUUUAUGCAUUGUUUUAUAAUAACUGCUGUACCACCACGUGCUCUACUGCUUGAUCGUAAGGUAGUAUAGAUAUUGUAAUUUUUUAUUUUCAAAAAAGUCCAUGGGGUGAAAUGUAUUUCUGAAAUAAGAGCUAUGUCAAUGUUCUCAUUACUUUAAAAUUCUUCGAGUUCUUGUUUACACUAUACUAGCCCAUUGUGUACAAGCUAUGAUACGUAAUGUAUGAUUCAUUUCUUCUUUUUGUUUUGAUUGUUAGACUUAAACUGGUUACUUUCUACCUUAUCAAGUCUACUUGUUAUAUUUGUAAGGGCUGAUAAAAUUUCCAUUAGAACUACUAACUAUUUUAGCCUAGGAAACAACCGAUGUAACAGUUUUAGCCGGUUUCUGUUGAAAACGUUGCACUGCGGUGUUUUUUUUCUUCUGCUUUCUUGUAAGCUGAACAGCCUUUCCAAUUUGCGGCGUAGGUUUCUCCGCAAUUGGCGAAUUCGAUUUCGAUUUUUUCGGUUUUGGUCAAUCUUCUGUUUUAUGUUCUUCGCCACAUUUUACACAGAUAGAUUUUUUGUGACAAUAAUUUUGAGUAUGUUCAAAGGCUUGGAAAUUUUUACACUGUGGUACUCCUUCUUUUUUUCUUCGGAGGUUCUACUUUUAUUUUAUGAUAACAUAAACUAUUUAAGUCGUAUAUAUCUUUAUUGUUAUCUCGAGGAUCUAGGUCUACAAAAAAUAACGGUAAUUUUAUUAUUUUUCACUAUUUUUGUCACUAGGAUUUAUUUUUCUCCUACUUUGGAUGUUAGUGACAUCACUUGCAUAAUGGCCAUUAUCUGCUUGGGCUCUUUUAAUUUCACAUACUUCAGUGUCAGUGUGUAAUCCUCUGAUUACAAUACGAAACUUUUUUAUUUUUAAUUGAUAACUGUGAUACUCAAUU